This 75-nucleotide transfer RNA is filed under the name Verrucomicrobiia bacterium. RNAcentral's name for it is "tRNA-Val". It matches the Rfam family "tRNA". Rfam says of the family: Transfer RNA (tRNA) molecules are approximately 80 nucleotides in length. Their secondary structure includes four short double-helical elements and three loops (D, anti-codon, and T loops). Further hydrogen bonds mediate the characteristic L-shaped molecular structure. tRNAs have two regions of fundamental functional importance: the anti-codon, which is responsible for specific mRNA codon recognition, and the 3' end, to which the tRNAs corresponding amino acid is attached (by aminoacyl-tRNA synthetases). tRNAs cope with the degeneracy of the genetic code in two manners: having more than one tRNA (with a specific anti-codon) for a particular amino acid; and 'wobble' base-pairing, i.e. permitting non-standard base-pairing at the 3rd anti-codon position. The record is from RNAcentral. Lineage: Bacteria; Pseudomonadati; Verrucomicrobiota; Verrucomicrobiia.
GCGCGGUUAGCUCAGGGGUAGAGCACUACCUUGACACGGUAGGGGUCACAGGUUCGAAACCUGUACCGCGCACCA